AGCAGCCGCGGUAAUUCCAGCUCCAAUAGCGUAUAUUAAAGUUGUUGCAGUUAAAAAGCUCGUAGUUGAAUUUCGGGAUCAGUACGCUGGUCGUGCCUUUGGUAUGUACUGGUGUCACUGAUUCCUCCCUUCUGAAGAACCGUUAUGCCAUUUAUUUGGUGUGGCGGGAAAUCAGGACUGUUACUUUGAAAAAUUAGAGUGUUUAAAGCAGGCUCGCGCUUGAAUACAUUAGCAUGGAAUAAUGAAAUAGGACGUUUGAUCUUAUUUUGUUGGUUUCUAGGAUCGAUGUAAUGAUUAAUAGGGAUAGUUGGGGGCAUUAGUAUUCAAUUGUCAGAGGUGAAAUUCUUGGAUUUAUUGAAGACUAACUACUGCGAAAGCAUUUGCCAAGGAUGUUUUCAUUAAUCAAGAACGAAAGUUAGGGGAUCGAAGACGAUCAGAUACCGUCGUAGUCUUAACCAUAAACUAUGCCGACUAGGGAUCGGAUGAUGUUAAUUUUUAAUGACUCAUUC
RNAcentral lists this ribosomal RNA (509 nucleotides) under uncultured Glomus. RNAcentral's name for it is "SSU rRNA". It matches the Rfam family "Eukaryotic small subunit ribosomal RNA", at positions 569 to 1081 of the family's 1831-position model. Lineage: Eukaryota; Fungi; Glomeromycota; Glomeromycetes; Glomerales; Glomeraceae. The record is from RNAcentral.